AGUUGUCCCCCUUUCACUCUCCACACACAAAAUCUCAAAAACUCUUUCUUUUGAGAGCUUCAGUAAUAGAAUAACAAAAUAGUUUUGCUUUAGUUAAGUUUGUCAAUACACCCAACAAAGUCAAUUCUUUCAUUUCUUUUCAUCCGUUUAAGUGCAUCAAUAAGUCUACAUCCCUAACAAAAUCAUUUAUACUGCUUGAUGACUCGAAUUACACUCAAUUAAACACAAUACACUUUUUCCCUUUUUUUGUUUUGAUGAUUUUAUCAUUCACUUUCAUAGUUAUGUUAUUAUUUUAUGAUUCGGAGAGUGGAGCAUGCCGACCAUUACAUUCACAUCCGGCAAGUAAAAGGCUAUUCACUAAUUCAGGAUUCGGAGAUUUGAGGAUGCCGGCCAUGUAUUCAAAUCCAGCAAGUAAAAGUGUAUUCACAAAUUGUGGAAUCGGAAAGUUGAGGAUGCCGGCCAUUCAUUCACAUCCGUAAAGUAAAAGGGUAUUCACUAGUUCGGGCACUCCAAUUUAAAAAAUUCAAACUUCAAGAAGUUUCUUAGCCAUAACUUACUUAUAAUAAAUUCAAAUAUUUUAUU
This is a long non-coding RNA of Solanum lycopersicum (tomato), 582 nucleotides long. RefSeq lists it as uncharacterized. NCBI's taxonomy places the organism in Eukaryota, Viridiplantae, Streptophyta, Magnoliopsida, Solanales, Solanaceae. The record is from RefSeq and is a predicted model, not a curated record.